Molecule: non-coding RNA, 190 nt
Organism: Pelobates cultripes (western spadefoot toad)
Lineage: Eukaryota; Metazoa; Chordata; Amphibia; Anura; Pelobatidae
Source: the annotation of a GenBank genome assembly
GAAAGAGUGAGGAAGGGGGUGACACAGUGACAGAGUGAGGGAGGGGGUGACUAGUGACAGAGUGAAGGAGGUGGUGACUGUCACUAAUCACCACCUCCCUCACUCUGUCAUAGUCACCCCUUCCCUCCCUCACUGUCACUAGUCACCCCCUCCCUCUCUCUGUCACUAGUCACCCCUCCCUCUCUCUGUC